RNAcentral lists this ribosomal RNA (1094 nucleotides) under Faecalibacterium sp. An122. Its description in RNAcentral is "bacterial LSU rRNA". It matches the Rfam family "Bacterial large subunit ribosomal RNA", at positions 280 to 1388 of the family's 2925-position model. Lineage: Bacteria; Bacillati; Bacillota; Clostridia; Eubacteriales; Oscillospiraceae. The record is from RNAcentral.
GUAGAAAUACCUGCGGGGUACGGACUGCUUUUAGGACUUAAACUGUUAGCCGAACGGCAUGGGAAGGCCGGUCAGAGAGUGUGAGAACCACGUAGGCGAAAACGGUGAGAGCUGCGCAGAAUCCAGAGUACGGCCGGACACGUGAAACCCGGUCGGAAUACGGGGGGACCACCCUCCAACCCUAAAUACUACCCAGUGACCGAUAGCGUAUAGUACUGUGAAGGAAAGGUGAAAAGAACCCCGGGAGGGGAGUGAAAGAGAACCUGAAACCCUGUGCCUACAAGCACCUAGAGCACGUCAAAGUGUGAUAGGGUACUUUUUGUAGAACGGUCCGGCGAGCGAUUGUACGUAGCAAGGUUAAGGUCUUAAGGACUGGAGCCGAAGCGAAAGCAAGUUUGAAAAGGGCGAUAAGUUACGUGCAAUGGGCCCGAAACCGGGUGACCUACCCAUGAUCAGGCUGAAGUGGAAGUAAAAUUCCAUGGAGGGCCGAACCGACCUCCGUUGAAAAGGCGGCGGAUGAAUUGUGGGUAGCGGAGAAAUUCCAAUCGAACUCGGAGAUAGCUGGUUCUCCCCGAAAUAGUUUUAGGACUAGCCUCAUUUUAGAUACCUGGAGGUAAAGCACUGAAUAGCCUAGCGGCCGAGAGGUUAGCGAAGCUUAUCAAACUCAGAAUGCCAGAGUAUUGAUGAAUGGGAGUCAGACAGUGUCAGAUAAAUGUCAUUGUCAAAAGGGAAACAGCCCAGAUCUACAGCUAAGGUCCCAAAGUCAGGUCAAGUGGAAAACGAUGUGAAGAUACGCAGACAACCAGGAUGUUGGCUCAGAAGCAGCCACUCAUUUAAAGAGUGCGUAAUAGCUCACUGGUCGAGCGUCUUUGCGCGGAGAAUUUAACGGGGCUAAACCUGACACCGAAGCUUAGGCAACAUCGCAAGAUGUUGGGUAGGGGAGCGUUGUAUGAGCGGCGAAACGGUAGCGUGAGCGGCCGUGGAGUUCAUAGAAGUGAGAAUGCCGGAAUGAGUAGCGCGAAUGCAGUGAGAAUCUGCAUGGCCGAAAGCCUCAGGUUUUUGGAGGAAGGUUCGUCCGCUCCAAGUUAGUCGGG